GUUUAUUCCGGUUGAUUCUUGCGGAAGUCAGCACAAAUUGGCGGUUGCUCUCACGAUUCUCCUCGUUUUUUCAUCAAAAAAUGAUGGCGGCCAUUAUAGAAAAUUUCAUUUUUGUCUAUACAGUUGUGGUGGACAGUGGAGUUUCCUGGGCAGUUGAAGAAACAUUCGCCACAUAUUUCGACUAUUUGGAACCCGGUCUGCUAAGAUCAUGUAUUUACAUUUUGGAAAUAUCCAACGUGUAAAUAUAAUUAUAAUCUUGGGCAGGGAUCUCCGGAUGAUAUUUAGUCUGAAAUAUGGUGAAAGUGGAUCUCGUGAGAAGAUCAUUCGCAAUUUUGUUUUCUUCACAUCAAUGACUGCACCAGAGAUAUAAAAUAAUACGUUGAUCCUGAGCAAUCAGACAAAAUUGCAGGCUGCUUGAAAUCUAGCUUUUUUGCAAGAUUACUUUUUAAAUCUCUAUUCUGAAGAUUUGAAUCGUUGCCGAAAGUAGGGCUCUCCAGGGGAUAAAUAGUUUAAAGAGGAUCUCAUAGAAAAAAAAUUCCCCACUGUGCUUUCUCCGAUAAUGAUUCUACCAACGAAAAAACAAAAAAAUACAAAGAUCUCUGAGCAAUUCAGAAAAUAUUGCGGCUUGCUUAAAAUUCAUCCUACUUGUAAGAUUACUCUCGAAACCUCCCAGAGUGGAGAUUUGAAUUGCAACUUAAAGUUAGGGAUUUCCGGGGGUUAAAUUACUUCAAGAGGAUCUCGUGAAAGAAAUGAAUUCACUAAUUUGAAAUCAGUCAUGGAAGGAUCGCCAAAAGUAUCACUAAAACGAUCGUUGUGGAUAUAAUUCACUGGAAGGAUCAGUGCAAGAAAGAGAUUGCAGAAAGGCAGAAGAUCCAGAAUUUCAUCGACGAGCAAAUCAACAAAAUUUCAUGUCGGUACAACAAUCAGAAGGAGAGAAAGGAUGUGGAAGAAGAAAAGUGGUUCCUGCAUGCUGCCGUAUUUUUUGAAACUACCUUCGACGUGGGAUUCAUCGUUCGAAUUGAACAAUAGAAGAAUGGCCUAAAAGGAAAGCUAGUUGAACAACUCGAUGGAUGACUGGAAGGAUCAAUGGAACCAAAAAUGGAUCACUGGAAAGAAAAGGAGGCUGACAAGCAGAGGACCAAUUUCAUCAACGUGAAAAUCAACAAAUAACCGAAAAUAAUUUGGAAAAACACUGUUAAAGGAUCACUGAAAGAAUUACUGAAUGGAGAAGAAAGCAGCAAGGCAGAAAAAAUCAACAAAUGUUUUUUAACUUUAACUCUUGCACACUCUCAUUUCUGGUUUAGGAGAAAAAAAAUAUUUCGAAAUUCUUUGCACGUCGUGCCGAUCACAGCUCAAUUGGAGGAGCAAUCUUUAGGAGGAAUCCACCUUCACUCUUUUAAAAAUGAAGCUGUAAGACGACAAUUGAUAAGAAAGUCUUGGAUAAAGAGGAUUCUGGGAUAAAAAGUUUACAACUAAAGGAAUCCUUCUUUCAACUCCGUGUGUUAUAGUUUGUGUUCACCUAUGUCGGACUUUUCUGUGAACUAAAAUGGGGUCAUAUCAGCACAGCCGUUUCUGGUUUUACAAGUUCAGUGGCUUUGGCAAUGGAGUUAAAUCUUUGUGAAUGCAUUGAUAAUAAGGU
This is a long non-coding RNA of Leptopilina boulardi, 1639 nucleotides long. RefSeq lists it as uncharacterized. NCBI's taxonomy places the organism in Eukaryota, Metazoa, Arthropoda, Insecta, Hymenoptera, Figitidae. The transcript has 11 exons. The record is from RefSeq and is a predicted model, not a curated record.